UCUUUUUUGAAGAGUGUCAUUAUUGGAAUAAAACUCACUUAUCUCUCAUUUUCCCAUGAUUUUAUUGGGUGAUUAUUAUUCUCUUUUGGUUUCAUAGAGGUGGGUGUUUGCUCCCGUCGCAAUGCUUCGACUCUGUCAAGAAGUGUUUUGCAAUUCCUAUGCUCUGGUUUAAGGACUGAUGUCAAUGAAAACUUCUUGGCGAGUCAGUCUGGCGUUGAUCAAGAUUGCAGAUUGAUAGAAGAUAUUAAGCCUGGUUGUGAUUCCAUGAGUCCAAGAUAGGAGCCAGAGCUGUCAUCUGGAGCCAUAGCAAAUGUUAUUCCAUCCCCAUUACCUGGUGAAUUGGGAAAGGGACUUAUUCUAAACGUGAAGAUGGUAGAGAUAAUUGGUUACUUAAUUGUUUUCCUGCCAAUAUAACUGCAUUAUACUUCAUGGUUCUGGUGUUCUUCUGCUUUGUCAACCACUUACUCCAUCUCAAGAAUUUAAAUUCCCAGCUGAGAAGUUGAUGGCUCUCUGUGGAAUUCUGAGUGGAAGCUGCGAAGCCAACAUACAUGGAGUUUGGAAACAUACCUGUGACGUCAAUUUGUCGGGAAGAAAUCUUCACAAGUGGGUUUGAUUCAUAUCCUGCAUGUACUUCAAGCCAUUUAGUCCAGCUAUUAUAAUCGAUUUGAACUUUGAUAUCCUUGCCACUUUCAAGGUCAAUUCCGCUACCAUUGGGACUCACAGCUAUUAAGUGGUCUUGCUACACUUGCUGUGUCGUCAGUGAUAUGAUUCCCAUCAAUGUCAAAGUUGUUCUUGUAAGUAUCCAGCCGCACUGUUAAUUGACGAAUAUCACUAUCUGGUUCUGCACAUAAGCUAUGGUUAGUUAACUAAGAAGUGCAAGGAAUGGUUAAUACAGGCCACUACAAAUGAUAUCCUAUCAUAAGAUAUUUGUAAAGGACAGAUCUCCUACUUGUAUUUGGUUCUCCUACGAUUCCAAGAUCAUCUUGUGCAGGACUAUUAACUGGAAUCAUAAGAAAUGACACUCGAUCUCCAGCAGAUGAAUUGGAGGCUACGACAAUUCUGAAUGUGAAGACGGUAGAGAAAAAUGCUGGCCAAAGAACCACUGGUUGACGGUAUAUAACCCAUCCAACAUUGUGUUUAUUUGAGUUUAGAAAACCAGGGAAUAGCGAAGGCUCCGGCGUAAGGCUUAGGAAACCAUCAUGGGCUGUAACAGCGCCGAGGCAGAGUAGGUUGCUGGAGGAGCUGCAACUUUGAGUGUCGAAAGCAGGGAAAGCAAAGUUAGUAGCGGAGAGUUAUGGUGCAGGCUCUGGAGCAAGACUUUCUGCAUAAGCUUGGUUGAGAAAGGCCACAGCUGCUAGAAGCAGAACAAGAAGACUAUGCAUGGUUGUUGGUAUUUGCUUGAUUCAUUACCAGCUUGGCAUUCAUAUGUAGUGGCUAUGGUCAAAUCUAUGUAGAAGAUAAAAAAUAUCAAACUACUUGUUCUAUUCUAUAUUGAAAUAUUCCUGAAA
Long non-coding RNA from Tripterygium wilfordii, 1508 nucleotides. RefSeq lists it as uncharacterized. NCBI's taxonomy places the organism in Eukaryota, Viridiplantae, Streptophyta, Magnoliopsida, Celastrales, Celastraceae. The transcript is spliced from 4 exons. The record is from RefSeq and is a predicted model, not a curated record.